UAGAGUUAAACACAGGGACACAUUUGAAGUCUCGGAGCCGGGUGUUGGUUCCGGUAGUGAUCGAGGGAAAUUAGUACCGAAGUCCGGGAUGGAAGAUGGCGAGAAAAGCUGUGUGUAUUUCUGCGGUGCCCGUACCGCAAACCGACACAGGUAGGUAGGAAGAAGAUUCUAAGGCCAACGGGAGAAGGGUUGUUAAGGAACUCGGCAAAUUGACCCCGUAACUUCGGGAGAAGGGGUGCUCCAGAGAUGGAGCCGCAGAGAAUCGGCCCAAGCAACUGUUUACCAAAAACACAGGUUUGUGCUAAAUCGAAAGAUGACGUAUACGAGCUGACGCCUGCCCGGUGCUGGAAGGUUAAGAGGAGAUGUGCAAGCAUUGAAUCGAAGCCCCAGUGAACGGCGGCCGUAACAAUAACGGCCCUAAGGUAGCGAAAUUCCUUGUCAGGUAAGUUCUGACCCGCAUGAAAGGCGUAAUGAUUUGGGCACUGUCUCGACAGCCCGCCCGGCGAAAUUGUAGUACCGGUGAAGAUGCCGGUUACCCGCGACAAGACGGAAAGACCCCAUGGAGCUUUACUGUAGCCUAAUAUUGGGUUUCGAUGUUGCAUGCACAGGAUAGAUGGGACACUAGGAAGCAAGUGCUUUGGCAUUUGUGGAGUGGCCGUUGGGAUACCAUCCUUGCGAUAUUGGAAUUCUAACCUGCGCCUUUGAAUCAAGGCGGGGGACAUUGUUAGGUGGGCAGUUUGACUGGGGCGGUCGCCUCCUAAAGAGUAACGGAGGCGUUCAAAGGUUCGCUCAGCUUGAACGGAAAUCAAGCAAAAGAGUGCAAACGCAGAAGCGAGCCUAACUGCGAGACUGACGGGUCGAGCAGUAACGAAAGUUGGAGUUAGUGAUCCGGUGGUAUGUGAGUGGAAAUGCCAUCGCUCAACGGAUAAAAGUUACCCUGGGGAUAACAGGCUGAUCUCCCCCAAGAGUCCACAUCGACGGGGAGGUUUGGCACCUCGAUGUCGGCUCAUCGCAUCCUGGGGCUGUAUUCGGUCCCAAGGGUUUGGCUGUUCGCCAAUUAAAGCGGUACGCGAGCUGGGUUCAGAACGUCGUGAGACAGUUCGGUCCCUAUCUGUCGUGGGCGCAGGAUAUUUGAUGGGAGCUGUUCCUAGUACGAGAGGGCCGGAGCGGACGUACCUCUGGCGCACCAGUUGUUCUGCCAAGGGCAUAGCUGGGCAACUAUGUACGGAUCGGAUAAACGCUGAAAGCAUCUAAGCGUGAAGCCGACCCAAAGAUAAGAUAUCCCAUUGUUUCAAACAAGUAAGACCCCUUGAAGACUACAAGGUUGAUAGGCAUGAUGUGUAAGUGGAGUGAUCCAUUCAGCAAGCAUGUACUAAUAGGUCGAGGGCUCGACC
Molecule: ribosomal RNA, 1394 nt
Filed under: metagenome
Description: bacterial LSU rRNA
Rfam family: Bacterial large subunit ribosomal RNA
Source: RNAcentral